RNAcentral lists this ribosomal RNA (119 nucleotides) under Pteropus alecto (black flying fox). RNAcentral also lists the same sequence under 1 other name. Lineage: Eukaryota; Metazoa; Chordata; Mammalia; Chiroptera; Pteropodidae. The record is from RNAcentral.
GUCUAUGGCCAUGCCACCCUGAACAAGCCUGAUCCCAUCUGAUCUCGGAAGCUAAGCAGGGUCGGGCCUGGUUAGUAUUUGGAUGGGAGACCACCUAGGAAGACCAGGUGCUAUAGGUG